UGCUCAGAUUGAACGCUGGCGGCAGGCCUAACACAUGCAAGUCGAGCGGUAACAGGGGAAGCUUGCUUCUCGCUGACGAGCGGCGGACGGGUGAGUAAUGUAUGGGGAUCUGCCCGAUAGAGGGGGAUAACUACUGGAAACGGUAGCUAAUACCGCAUAAUCUCUCAGGAGCAAAGCAGGGGAACUUCGGUCCUUGCGCUAUCGGAUGAACCCAUAUGGGAUUAGCUAGUAGGUGAGGUAAUGGCUCACCUAGGCGACGAUCCCUAGCUGGUCUGAGAGGAUGAUCAGCCACACUGGGACUGAGACACGGCCCAGACUCCUACGGGAGGCAGCAGUGGGGAAUAUUGCACAAUGGGCGCAAGCCUGAUGCAGCCAUGCCGCGUGUAUGAAGAAGGCCCUAGGGUUGUAAUAGUACUUUCAGUCGGGAGGAAGGCGUUGAUGCUAAUCAUC
Molecule: ribosomal RNA, 450 nt
Filed under: Providencia sp. Z10_29
Lineage: Bacteria; Pseudomonadati; Pseudomonadota; Gammaproteobacteria; Enterobacterales; Morganellaceae
Description: bacterial SSU rRNA
Rfam family: Bacterial small subunit ribosomal RNA
Source: RNAcentral